Molecule: long non-coding RNA, 1496 nt
Filed under: Nicotiana tabacum (common tobacco)
Lineage: Eukaryota; Viridiplantae; Streptophyta; Magnoliopsida; Solanales; Solanaceae
Description: long non-coding RNA (NTAB_LNC013234)
Source: RNAcentral
AAAGAAAGUUACUUCAAAAUGAACAAACGGACAGAUCUUCCUGAGAAAUCGUCGAGCUUUGGGUUCAAAAGAAUCCAAUUCAUGAUGAGGAAAAGGUACGAAUAUGAUAACAUCCUCAUCUGGACAUGCGUCGGGCCCAAUCUCAUACCCCAAAGAGUGCUAAUUGACUGAUACCAACAUGGAACAGGGAAUCAAAUUAAACAAACGCUUAUUUUAAGUUAAAAAGGCGGAACGCAUGACUUCAAAAUUUAGAUUCCAGGAUCAUUUUUCAUGCAUUUUCGAACUAAUCCUGCCAUGAAAAUGAAGCAAUCUUAUUAGGAUAGCUAUUGGCUUAAGGGACAAACCCCAAGUGAUCAUUGCUGUCUAAAAUAACACACUGAACAUGGAAUAAUAAUGGGGAUUCAACCUCAAUUUCGAACAAGCUAGAUCAUGAACGCACGAGGUGAAAUCUGAAUCCCAAUCACGAACUUGUCAACAAACAGUGAAAGAAACCUGGCAUAGCUUGGCUAGUUUUGUAACUUGUCAAACCAAAAACUCAUUGUUUGAGUCCUAGUUUUCAAGAACACCAAUGCCUCCCUUGAAUUCUAAAAGACUAUAUGAUAAAAGAUUGUAAUAUGAAACUCAGAUUCUUAAAAAAUCAACUAAGCUAAACUUGAAGCCAAGGGAAAACAAAGAAAAGUAGGUAUAGAUCUGUGUUAUAGGGAAGCAAACAUGUUCACAACUCAAAUACACCUUUUAGAACCCAUAAAAGCAUCUUGAAUCAGCUGCACUUACACAAUUUCAAAUCCAGACCUUAAAAUAGACCUUAAAACAAAAUGAGUAACACCAAUGACUAUAUUUAAGAAGCCAGACUAAGUGGAUACCAAUCCAAGUUACCAAACAACACACAAUAUUCAGAAUCUUGGGUUUUAAUUACAUAUUCAGACGUAAAAGACAAGAAGCAAACUUCUCUAAAGGAAAAGAAGACAGGCAAACAAAAGAACUAAACUAUGAACAUAACUAUUGUGGCUAGUUCUCACAACUCCUGAUCUCUAUUUUUCAAUUCCCAAGUCCAACUUUUACAUUAAGUAAAGUGUAGAAACAUGUACCUGGAGAUGGAAAAAAAUAGAAGGUAAAGGAUCAGCAGUAAUUUAGUAUAAGGCAGCAGCAGAAAUAAUUAGUGAAACCAGUUUCCAACCCAGAAAUGUUGUGCAGUACUCCAAAAGAAAAUAAUUUCAAUUGAACAAGAGUCUAGCAGACUUUGAACCAAACUUUUAAACCAAACUCAAACCAUUUCCAACCCCAGGUGAAUCAGAAUUUGUUUCAGAAAUUGAAGACUUUAAAAUUCACAGAUGAAAUGUAAUGGAACAGUGAUUGUAUUGGAACUUUUUGCCGUUUUUAAUUCCUAUCUUUCUAUCUCUGAAUCUCCCUUGAAUGCUAAGUUAGAGAGCCUUUAUAGGCAAGACAUUUAGGGCAGCUAGAUGAAGAUCAGAUUUUUCCCUCGACCCUUUUGCAAU